RNAcentral lists this ribosomal RNA (1514 nucleotides) under uncultured prokaryote. RNAcentral describes it as "partial 16S ribosomal RNA". It matches the Rfam family "Bacterial small subunit ribosomal RNA". The record is from RNAcentral.
AGAGUUUGAUCCUGGCUCAGAUUGAACGCUGGCGGUAUGCUUAACACAUGCAAGUCGAACGGUAACAGGACGCUGGGAUCCCUUCGGGGUGAACUUGCCGCUGACGAGUGGCGGACGGGUGAGUAAUACUUAGGAAUCUACCCAGUAGCGGGGGACAACUCGAGGAAACUCGAGCUAAUACCGCAUACGCCCUACGGGGGAAAGCGGGGGAUCUUCGGACCUCGCGCUAUUGGAUGAGCCCAAGUCGGAUUAGCUUGUUGGUGGGGUAACGGCCUACCAAGGCAGCGAUCCGUAGCUGGUCUGAGAGGACGAUCAGCCACACUGGGACUGAGACACGGCCCAGACUCCUACGGGAGGCAGCAGUGGGGAAUAUUGGACAAUGGGGGCAACCCUGAUCCAGCAAUACCGCGUGUGUGAAGAAGGCCUGCGGGUUGUAAAGCACUUUCAGUAGAGAAGAAAAGCUUAGGGUUAAUACCCCUGGGUCUUGACUUAACCUACAGAAGAAGCACCGGCUAACUCCGUGCCAGCAGCCGCGGUAAUACGGGGGGUGCAAGCGUUAAUCGGAAUUACUGGGCGUAAAGCGCGCGUAGGCGGUCUGGUCAGUCGGAUGUGAAAGCCCCGGGCUUAACCUGGGAAUGGCAUUCGAUACUGCCCGACUAGAAUAUGGAAGAGGGAAGUGGAAUUUCCGGUGUAGCGGUGAAAUGCGUAGAGAUCGGAAGGAACACCAGUGGCGAAGGCGACUUCCUGGCCCAAUAUUGACGCUGAGGUGCGAAAGCGUGGGUAGCGAACAGGAUUAGAUACCCUGGUAGUCCACGCCGUAAACGAUGAGAACUAGAUGUCGGGAGGGUUUAGCCUUUCGGUGUCGCAGCUAACGCGUUAAGUUCUCCGCCUGGGGAGUACGGUGGCAACACUAAAACUCAAAGGAAUUGACGGGGACCCGCACAAGCGGUGGAGCAUGUGGUUUAAUUCGAUGCAACGCGAAGAACCUUACCUGCCCUUGACAUUGACAGAACCCUCUGGAGACAGAGGGGUGCUUCGGCCUGGAAAACAGGUGCUGCAUGGCUGUCGUCAGCUCGUGUCGUGAGAUGUUGGGUUAAGUCCCGCAACGAGCGCAACCCUUGUCCUUAGUUGCCAGCACGUAAUGGUGGGGACUCUAGGGAGACUGGCCGGUGUCAAGCCGGAGGAAGGUGGGGAUGACGUCAAGUCAUCAUGGCCCUUAUGGGCAGGGCUACACACGUGCUACAAUGGCCGGUACAAAGGGUUGCCAACCCGCAAGGGGGAGCUAAUCCCAGAAAGCCGGUCGUAGUCCGGAUCGCAGUCUGCAACUCGACUGCGUGAAGUUGGAAUCGCUAGUAAUCGCGAAUCAGCAACGUCGCGGUGAAUACGUUCCCGGGCCUUGUACACACCGCCCGUCACACCAUGGGAGUGGGCUGCACCAGAAGUAGGUUGCUUAACCUUCGGGAGAGCGCUUACCACGGUGUGGUUCAUGACUGGGGUGAAGUCGUAACAAGGUA